CCUACGGGAGGCAGCAGUAGGGAAUCUUCCACAAUGGGCGAAAGCCUGAUGGAGCAACGCCGCGUGGGUGAAGAAGGUCUUCGGAUCGUAAAACCCUGUUGUUAGAGAAGAAAGUGCGUGAGAGUAACUGUUCACGUUUCGACGGUAUCUAACCAGAAAGCCACGGCUAACUACGUGCCAGCAGCCGCGGUAAUCCGUAGGUGGCAAGCGUUAUCCGGAUUUAUUUGGCGUAAAGGGAACGCAAGCGGUCUUUUAAGUCUGAUGUGAAAGCCUUCGGCUUAACCGGAGUAGUGCAUUGGAAACUGGGAGACUUGAGUGCAGAAGAGGAGAGUGGAACUCCAUGUGUAGCGGUGAAAUGCGUAGAUAUAGGGAAGAACACCAGUGGCGAAAGCGGCUCUCUGGUCUGUAACUGACGCUGAGGUUCGAAAGCGUGGGUAGCAAACAGGAUUAGAUACCCUUGUAGUC
RNAcentral lists this ribosomal RNA (465 nucleotides) under uncultured bacterium. Its description in RNAcentral is "partial 16S ribosomal RNA". It matches the Rfam family "Bacterial small subunit ribosomal RNA", at positions 338 to 795 of the family's 1533-position model. The record is from RNAcentral.